RNAcentral lists this ribosomal RNA (536 nucleotides) under Fusarium oxysporum. Its description in RNAcentral is "eukaryotic LSU rRNA". The stretch from base 179 to 332 matches the Rfam family "5.8S ribosomal RNA". Lineage: Eukaryota; Fungi; Ascomycota; Sordariomycetes; Hypocreales; Nectriaceae. The record is from RNAcentral.
UCCGAUGGUGAACCUGCGGAGGGAUCAUUACCGAGUUUACAACUCCCAAACCCCUGUGAACAUACCACUUGUUGCCUCGGCGGAUCAGCCCGCUCCCGGUAAAACGGGACGGCCCGCCAGAGGACCCCUAAACUCUGUUUCUAUAUGUAACUUCUGAGUAAAACCAUAAAUAAAUCAAAACUUUCAACAACGGAUCUCUUGGUUCUGGCAUCGAUGAAGAACGCAGCAAAAUGCGAUAAGUAAUGUGAAUUGCAGAAUUCAGUGAAUCAUCGAAUCUUUGAACGCACAUUGCGCCCGCCAGUAUUCUGGCGGGCAUGCCUGUUCGAGCGUCAUUUCAACCCUCAAGCACAGCUUGGUGUUGGGACUCGCGUUAAUUCGCGUUCCCCAAAUUGAUUGGCGGUCACGUCGAGCUUCCAUAGCGUAGUAGUAAAACCCUCGUUACUGGUAAUCGUCGCGGCCACGCCGUUAAACCCCAACUUCUGAAUGUUGACCUCGGAUCAGGUAGGAAUACCCGCUGAACUUAAGCAUAUCAAUAA